GCGGCCUCCUUGUUUCCCCGCCCCAGUACUUCGCCGAUAGCGAGGACGCAAGUUCGGAGGAUGCUGCAGGGCCCUCCCGCAGUGCACCAGCAACAACUGCGUUUGUGGUGUCGGGUCCUGCAGCUGUUGCUGGGCCAAGUGGCCUUACACAGCAACCGCCUACCCUCCAGCAGCCACCCUUCCAGCCGACCCCCCAGCCAACUCAACGAGAGCCGCAAGCACCCCCCCCAUAGGCAGUCGAGGCAGCAGGAC
Long non-coding RNA from Dermacentor albipictus, 252 nucleotides. RefSeq lists it as uncharacterized. Lineage: Eukaryota; Metazoa; Arthropoda; Arachnida; Ixodida; Ixodidae. The record is from RefSeq and is a predicted model, not a curated record.